ACGACGGUUCGUGGGGAUUUGAGACCGGCUUGCGCCCACGUAAAAUAAACCGCUAAAAGGGUCGCGUGACGUGACGU
This 77-nucleotide non-coding RNA is filed under the name Pararhodospirillum photometricum. Lineage: Bacteria; Pseudomonadati; Pseudomonadota; Alphaproteobacteria; Rhodospirillales; Rhodospirillaceae. The record is from RNAcentral. RNAcentral also lists the same sequence under 1 other name.